CCGGUGGCUUAGUUGGUAGAGCACAGCCUUGGUAAGGCUGGGAUCGCGAGUUCAAGUAUAGGCACCGCA
Molecule: transfer RNA, 69 nt
Filed under: Candidatus Woesearchaeota archaeon CG_4_10_14_0_8_um_filter_47_5
Lineage: Archaea; Nanobdellati; Candidatus Woesearchaeota
Description: tRNA-Thr
Source: RNAcentral